GUUAUACAUUUUAUAAUACUCAUCCCUGAAAGUGGACGUCUCAUCAGGCUCUGAACUCCAGGAUAUGACUGUGUACCUACCACAUAGGAGACCAAUCAUGACAUCCUUUUCAAGGUACUCUGUGUUUCUGCACAGGCCAUCUAUUUUUGCCUGCCUGGUGAACUGACUUAAUCUUCGGGUUUCAACUCAAGAGUCAUCUCCUCUGUGAAGUCUUCCCUGUCCCCACUUGCCAUACGAAGCAGUCAGGAUUGUAGUGCAGGUGUGUAUCAUAGAGAGCACCCAUCAAACUGUAUUGUAAUGGUCUCCUCUAUUUUACUGAGGUUCACAUCGACCCCUUGUGCCUAUUAAAAUAGAGCACAGAAGUCACUGAAAAAUGUUGAAUGAACAGGAACUUGAAAACAACUGCAAAUAAUGAACAUUUCAACAAAUUCAAGAGCAUACUUAAAUUCCAAAUUAACAAUGCAUGAUAUUAAAAAAAUGUAGAUUAGAGUGCUGAAUAUUUGGCUAACUAUUCAAGAGAAACUGCCACACAUGGCUCUGCAUUGAUACUUACUUGUCAAUGAUAUUUUGGAAAAUGCAGACGGAAGAAACAAAUACCCCCAUGUUUAUGUUAAGGGCCCAGGCUGGAGGGUAAAAUAAAGGCCUGAGGUAAUUCCCUCUCAA
Leptonychotes weddellii (Weddell seal) is the source of this 663-nucleotide non-coding RNA. The record is from RefSeq and is a predicted model, not a curated record. NCBI's taxonomy places the organism in Eukaryota, Metazoa, Chordata, Mammalia, Carnivora, Phocidae.